UACGAAGGGGGCUAGCGUUGUUCGGAAUUACUGGGCGUAAAGGGCGCGCAGGCGGCCCUCCAAGUCAGGCGUGAAAGCCCCGGGCUCAACCCGGGAACAGCGCUUGAGACUGGGGGGCUUGAGUUCGGGAGAGGAGAGUGGAAUUCCCAGUGUAGAGGUGAAAUUCGUAGAUAUCGGAAGGAACACCUGUGGCGAAAGCGGCUCACUGGACCAUUACUGACGCUGAGGCACGAAAGCUAGGGGAGCAAACAGG
Molecule: ribosomal RNA, 253 nt
Filed under: uncultured bacterium
Lineage: Bacteria
Description: partial 16S ribosomal RNA
Rfam family: Bacterial small subunit ribosomal RNA
Source: RNAcentral